This 253-nucleotide ribosomal RNA is filed under the name uncultured bacterium. RNAcentral describes it as "partial 16S ribosomal RNA". It matches the Rfam family "Bacterial small subunit ribosomal RNA", at positions 524 to 776 of the family's 1533-position model. The record is from RNAcentral.
GACAGAGGUGCCAAGCGUUAGGCGGAAUCACUGGGCUUAAAGCGUGUGUAGGCGGAUCGUUAAGUACCUUGUGAAAUCCCACGGCUCACCCGUGGAACUGCUGGGCAUACUGGCGAUCUUGGGCCAACUAGGGGCAGCCGGAACAAGCGGUGGAGCGGUGAAAUGCGUAGAUAUCGCUUGGAACGCCGAAGGUGAAAACAGGCUGCUGGGGUUGCGCCGACGCUGAGACACGAAAGCCAGGGGAGCAAACGGG